UCCGCUCCAGUGACCAGCAU
This 20-nucleotide unclassified non-coding RNA is filed under the name Mus musculus (house mouse). RNAcentral describes it as "oocyte_clustered_small_RNA12647". The record is from RNAcentral. Lineage: Eukaryota; Metazoa; Chordata; Mammalia; Rodentia; Muridae.